Molecule: long non-coding RNA, 310 nt
Filed under: dengue virus type 1
Lineage: Riboviria; Orthornavirae; Kitrinoviricota; Flasuviricetes; Amarillovirales; Flaviviridae
Description: Dengue virus 1 partial sfRNA1
Rfam family: Flavivirus DB element (bases 233-305)
Source: RNAcentral
AAGAAGUCAGGCCGGAUUAAGCCAUAGUACGGUAAGAGCUAUGCUGCCUGUGAGCCCCGUCUAAGGACGUAAAAUGAAGUCAGGCCGAAAGCCACGGCUUGAGCAAACCGUGCUGCCUGUAGCUCCAUCGUGGGGAUGUAAAAACCUGGGAGGCUGCAACCCAUGGAAGCUGUACGCAUGGGGUAGCAGACUAGUGGUUAGAGGAGACCCCUCCCGAAACUCAACGCAGCAGCGGGGCCCAAACACCAGGGGAAGCUGUACCCUGGUGGUAAGGACUAGAGGUUAGAGGAGACCCCCCGCAUAACAAUAA